Molecule: ribosomal RNA, 394 nt
Filed under: uncultured bacterium
Lineage: Bacteria
Description: bacterial SSU rRNA
Rfam family: Bacterial small subunit ribosomal RNA
Source: RNAcentral
AUUGAACGCUGGCGGAAUGCUUUACACAUGCAAGUCGAGCGGCAGCGCGGGGGCAACCCUGGCGGCGAGCGGCGAACGGGUGAGUAAUACAUCGGAACGUGUCCUUCAAGUGGGGGAUAGCUCGGCGAAAGCCGGAUUAAUACCGCAUAAGCUCUGAGGAGGAAAGCGGGGGACUGGUAACGGCCUCGCGCUGUUGGAGCGGCCGAUGUCGGAUUAGCUAGUUGGUGGGGAAAGGCCCACCAAGGCGACGAUCCGUAGCUGGUCUGAGAGGAUGAUCAGCCACACUGGAACUGAGACACGGUCCAGACUCCUACGGGAGGCAGCAGUGGGGUAAGUUUUGGACAAGUGGGGGCAACCCUGAUCCAGCCAUUCCGCGUGAGUGAAGAAGGCCUGG